AGAUUGAACGCUGGCGGCAGGCCUAACACGUGCAAGUCGAGCGGCAGCACGGGUACUUGUACCUGGUGGCGAGCGGCGGACGGGUGAGUAAUGCCUAGGAAUCUGCCUGGUAGUGGGGGGAUAGCGCUCGGAAACGGACGCUAAUACCGCAUACGUCCUACGGGAGAAAGCAGGGGACCUUCGGGCCUUGCGCUAUCAGAUGAGCCUAGGUCGGAUUAGCUAGUUGGUGAGGUAAUGGCUCACCAAGGCGACGAUCCGUAACUGGUCUGAGAGGAUGAUCAGUCACACUGAACUGAGACACGGUCCAGACUCCUACGGGAGCAGCAGGUGGGGAAUAUUGGACAAGU
RNAcentral lists this ribosomal RNA (347 nucleotides) under uncultured soil bacterium. Its description in RNAcentral is "bacterial SSU rRNA". It matches the Rfam family "Bacterial small subunit ribosomal RNA", at positions 26 to 373 of the family's 1533-position model. The record is from RNAcentral.